Long non-coding RNA from Saccostrea cuccullata (small rock oyster), 196 nucleotides. RefSeq lists it as uncharacterized. The record is from RefSeq and is a predicted model, not a curated record. The transcript has 3 exons. Lineage: Eukaryota; Metazoa; Mollusca; Bivalvia; Ostreida; Ostreidae.
CGAGGGGCAUACCAUGAUGAUAAGGCAGCCUGUGAUGAUGUACUGCAUGAUGUCGACAAUGCUGCAGCCAUGACAAGUACAUCAGGAUUAUUUAGGAUAGGUACGGAAGUAAAUGAUGGCAAAGAGAACUAUGAAGACAAUGAAGAAAGGAAUGAAAAAAAAUCAUGUAGAAGAAAACUGUUCACUGGAUUAAGUG